CGUACCUCAUAAUUAAUACCAACGAAUUGCCAGUUAAUCAUGGGCCCUGAUUUGGGGAUCAGAAGCCUGCAGACCCAGACUCCACGGGAGGCUGUCAUCCAGUGGCUGAGCUUGGCUGAUGAAGUAGAUGCUGGAGUCCAGAGAGGGGGGCAGAAGAAUGAAAAUUUUAAAACCACAAGAAAAGACCAAUGACUCCUUAAGAUAGACCAUAAUGGGGGAAUGAUGGCUGAGCAGUCUACCUCCUACAUCAUCCACCUUACCUGCUACCAGCAGCAACACCAUACUGGAAACACCAUCUUGAGAAGACAUGGAAACUUGGAUCUAAAAACAGCUGAGUUGUUCCAACAACCUUUAAGUUUGUGAAAGUAAGAAAGAAGCCAAAAUAAAUUAUUUUAAACUUGUGUUUAGAAGAUUCUC
This 417-nucleotide long non-coding RNA is filed under the name Vulpes vulpes (red fox). RNAcentral's name for it is "lncRNA (ENSVVUG00000019393.1)". The record is from RNAcentral. Lineage: Eukaryota; Metazoa; Chordata; Mammalia; Carnivora; Canidae.